This 253-nucleotide ribosomal RNA is filed under the name uncultured bacterium. Its description in RNAcentral is "partial 16S ribosomal RNA". It matches the Rfam family "Bacterial small subunit ribosomal RNA", at positions 524 to 776 of the family's 1533-position model. The record is from RNAcentral.
UACGGAGGGGGCAAGCGUUGUUCGGAAUUAUUGGGCGUAAAGGGCGCGUAGGUGGUUCUGUAUGUCUACCGUGAAAGCGUACGGCUCAACCGUAUUUUGUCGGUGGAAACUGCAGGACUUGAGGCUGGGAGGGGCUGGUGGAAUUCCCUGUGUAGCGGUGAAAUGCGUAGAGAUGGGGGAGAACACUCGUGGCGAAGGCGGCCAGCUAGACCAGUUCUGACACUGAGGCGCGACAGCGUGGGGAGCAAACAGG